Molecule: ribosomal RNA, 468 nt
Filed under: uncultured bacterium
Lineage: Bacteria
Description: partial 16S ribosomal RNA
Rfam family: Bacterial small subunit ribosomal RNA
Source: RNAcentral
GACGAACGCUGGCGGCGUGCUUAACACAUGCAAGUCGAACGGAAAGGCCCUGCUUUUGUGGGUUGCUCGAGUGGCGAACGGGUGAGUAACACGUGAGUAACCUGCCCUUGACUUUGGGAUAACUUCAGGAAACUGGGGCUAAUACCGGGUAUGAGCUCCUGCUGCAUGGUGGGGGUUGGAAAGUUUCGGCGGUUGGGGCUGGACUCGCGGCUUAUCAGCUUGUUGGUGAGGUAGUGGCUUACCAAGGCUUUGACGGGUAGCCGGCCUGGGAGGGUGACCGGCGACAAUGGGACUGAGAUACGGCCCAGAAGCCUACGGGAGGCAGCAGUGGGGAAUAUUGCAGAAUGGGCGGAAGCCAGAUGCAGCAACGCCGCGUGCGGGAUGACGGGCUACGGGUUGUAAACCGAUGUCGCCUGUGACGAAGCGUGAGUGACGGUAAUGGGUAAAGAAGCACCGGCUAACUACGUG